Molecule: ribosomal RNA, 442 nt
Filed under: uncultured bacterium
Lineage: Bacteria
Description: partial 16S ribosomal RNA
Rfam family: Bacterial small subunit ribosomal RNA
Source: RNAcentral
CCUACGGGUGGCUGCAGUGGGGAAUAUUGGGCAAUGGGCGAAAGCCUGACCCAGCAAUGCCGCGUGAAUGAAGAAGGUCUUAGGAUUGUAAAAUUCUGUCCUAUGGGAAGAAAAAAAUGACGGUACCAUAGGAGGAAGCCCCGGCUAACUACGUGCCAGCAGCCGCGGUAAUACGUAGGGGGCGAGCGUUGUCCGGAUUCAUUGGGUUUAAAGGGUGCGCAGGCGGGCCUUUAAGCCGGCGGUGAAAUCGCGGGGCUCAACCCCGCCGAGCCGUCGGAACUGGGGGCCUUGAGUGCGGCGGAGGCAUGCGGAAUGCGCGGUGUAGCGGUGAAAUGCAUAGAUAUCGCGCAGAACCCCGAUUGCGAAGGCAGCGUGCCGUGCCGCCACUGACGCUGAGGCACGAAAGCGCGGGGAUCGAACAGGAUUAGAUACCCCUGUAGUC